Gasterosteus aculeatus aculeatus (three-spined stickleback) is the source of this 3322-nucleotide non-coding RNA. NCBI's taxonomy places the organism in Eukaryota, Metazoa, Chordata, Actinopteri, Perciformes, Gasterosteidae. The record is from RefSeq and is a predicted model, not a curated record.
AAUGAAUGCGUGCAGCUCUGCCCAGCCACCGACGCGCAAAGGUUGCCGUCUCCAAUCGCCAGUAACGCUGUAUAGCUGUAGCUGUUACAAAAGCGGAGCUGAGCAACGGCUGGUCCAGCAGGCUGCUGCUCAGGCUGGUGGAGGAGGUCUAUGCUUCGUUGCCGGAAGUCGUUCCACCAUGUCUUCCCACCCCUGGCUGUCUGUCCUGCUGCAGGAGUGGAAGGAUGAGGAGGACCUUGUGUUUCAAAAGCAGCAUACUAGGUAAGUGUGAAGGACUCUAACUUGCAUGCUUUGGCCGAAGUGAAGGUGUCAGAGUAGACAGGGGGCUGUUGAUGGUCCCUGUAUGAACACCAUGUGGACAAAUGGACAAGGGACCUCCAGUGGAGGACAGGACAUGGGGCGAUAGCUACUAACCGGUAUCUGGUACACAUUAAUCCUGGCUUAGAAGAUGGCUAUUCCGUCUGCUCUCAGACAGAACCAUCCACCAUCUUUUUGUUAAGUGCUCCAGAUUCCUUUCAGGACUGGGGAAAGUAGCGCUGAAAGACGUUCUGUGUUCAGUUAGAGACAUUGCUCUGGUUCGGAAUUUUUGACUUGUUCUUUCUUUUGUAUAUAUAUUGUGUUCUGUGGGAUUUAGUGUUUUUUAUCAUUUUUCUUUGAUAAACAGUAUCUCUUUCCCUCUUUCUCUGAGUGGAAGGAGUGCUGAGUGAAGGGAGCGUGAGAUGAAUUGUGGUUGUGUUUUUCUGUCAGUUAUCUUGUUUAGUUUCUGCAUCUAUGUGGUGUGUAUUGUGGUUUGAAUGUGUAGCGUGACUUUUUUUUUGUGGGUUAGUUUUUGCAUGUUUGCAGCCGAUCAGCAUGCUGCAUGAUGGACUGGCGCAGACGCGUGAAGCACAGCGUGAAGAACAACGUGAAGCACGGCAUGAAGCACGGCGUGAAGCUUGCGUGCUGGGUGGACGACUGCGGCAUGGCCGUGAGGGGAUUGGUGGGUGGAAUGUGCGUGGAAUGCUUAUGCCUGUUCUGCGUCUUGCCUUACUGGCGGACAGAGUGACAGUAUCAAACAUUCUGCCGUUUCUUCUCGACAAGGUUCUUUUUGAAGAGCUGGUGAAGAAUGGGAAAGUAUCCUCAGGAUGCAGGUCUCCUCUGCUGAGAUGUGGUAUCUCACAGGAGACUGCUCCACAUUGUCCUCACCAAGGCCCAUGGUUCUCAGCCUGGUGAUUAAGGUGAGGAUCGAUGGCGUUGAUUAGGUCAUGUUUGUUACCUCUGAUGGGAGAUGUUUCAAUUGUGGUGGAGCGGGACACCUGGGGAGGGUUUGUCCAGAAAAGAACCCCUCUACUACCGGGAUGCCAUGGAGUAAGAGGUUGCAGGUCGGUCUUGUGUGUGACUAAGUGAAAAAGGGUAAAGUAGGGUUUUAAUGGUCCCCCACCUGAAGAGGAAGACGGGGGAAGCAGAGGUGACUCUUGGGGAAAGAGAGGGGCAGCGAGCAGAGGGGAGUUGGUAGGUGGGGUGACAGAGUGAGAUUCCUCUUUGGAGUUUUUCCCCAGGGAGCAAUUAGGGGUUAGGUGUCUUGCUCAGGGACACUUUGACUUGGGACGUGGGGCAGCCGGGACUCAAACCACCAACCCGGUUCCCAGCGCACACACUCUUCUUGCUGGAAACAAAGAACGAGAGAGGAGUGAGGCUGGAUGACUCCUUCUCCGACAUGGAUUGAGUUCUCUCGCUCGGUUUGGCAUUGCAGCAGUAAAAAGCGCACUGGAAAAUACAUCCAGCAGGAGGUCAUCAGACUGAGGAAGUUCAUCCUCAAAAUCAACAAGUGAGGUGGGAGCACUACUGAGGACUGAGGGCCUCAAGUAUGUACAUUUGCAAACUUCAGCGUCACGGAGGAUGCGCAGAUAGCGCCCACUGUGAUCCUUUAGCUUACGUCAUAUUUUCGAAACCUUCAGCGCAACAGGUAAUCAGCGCCUUUCUCUGCCCACUAUACCGCACAUUGCAAGCAUUUAAACGUGCUGAAUGUACCUCCUACACUCUUUCUAUCUUCGGUCAGCCAGAGUCAAAACAGCAAAAACAAAAAUUCUGUGACAACGAAAUUGAUGGUUUAUUUGGGCAUCAGUGGUGGGGAAAUGUAUGUUUUGACUAGUGUCCUGUAGCAAAGCGUUAAGUACCUGUGCUGUGAUACGGUUGAGUGCAGGCUGCGAUAUUCCCACUGCUGAAAAGAAUCCUGCUGCCAAUAAUUGUAAUGUAACAAGGAGCUUAACCCUAACUACUGGAAUGGUAUGUACAUGCUGAGUUGGCGAUAUGAUGUCAUCUUUGAUUUCUUUCGAUAACUGUAAUAUAACUGCUUAAUUAUUUUCAGCUUUGCUUAUUUCUGUAUCUUCAGCAAUUUUUUGAAAUUUGUUUCAGCCUUUAGCAUUCAAAUGCAUUUUUAGCAGUAAAUGCAUUUUCUAGUUUACUGGAAGCUUCGUGCUUUCUUUCACAGGUUUCCAUGGACGGUGGUUCUAUCUGAACUCUGGACAGAGAUUAGGAAGUCAGGUUCUCCACAUCAACAGUAAAAUGGUAUGAUGUUAAGCUCACAACUAUGUCUGCUGCCCCAAGUGUCCAAUAAAUAAAAGAUAUUAUGAUUAAUAUUAUUAAUAGGCUAAAUAAUAAUAACAAUUCAUUAUUACCAUUAAUUGUGGUAAAAAGAGUAUGCUAGAGUGUAUAUUUUGUUAAUUUGAUAAUGUUUUAGAAUGUUAGAAAUUUAUUUCAGUUUCAUUCAAUUCAAACAUAAAAUUUCAGAAUUUGAAAAGUAUUGUAGUACCACACAGCGGGUUAAUUUGUAGCCAUAAACCCAGAAUUGCGCAUGUAACGGUAUCAUUGUGCAUAAAACGCAUUAAAUAAAAAUGUUUUUGAUUGAUCCAUCCAUCCAUCUAUUGGAUGCUUUGCAAUACACCUUGCAUUGACUUGAAAUAGCUCUCUGCUUGGUAACUAAUGGGACCAUCGAAUUACUUUUUUUUGUCUUGCACUAAGGCAAGAUCUCGGAGGGACUUCCAGUUUCUAAUUAAUAAUUGGUAUAUGUGGCUGACGCUCUGUGAGAUUAUUUGAAGUCAUUAGAAAACACCCCCUUCCACUGAAUCUUCGGAGAGAAAGAAGGCGACUAGCUGUCCUACUGGGAUUUUAUCGACGCACCAAUAGUGUUUUGUUCAUGAAAUUUAAUUGCGGCAUCCACAAACUUGUUCCUGUGGGUAUUACAAAAUAAUGACUCUGUUCUAACAUGAAAUUAAAAGCAAAAAUGGUUUUUUUUUCCUUUGGGCUGGAAUCUUAAUGAAAAAUAUGAAUGCUGACACCCUAA